This 828-nucleotide long non-coding RNA is filed under the name Gallus gallus (chicken). RNAcentral's name for it is "lncRNA (ENSGALG00010026622.1)". Lineage: Eukaryota; Metazoa; Chordata; Aves; Galliformes; Phasianidae. The record is from RNAcentral.
CAGAAAUAAACCAAGUUGAGGUUGCAGGCUGGCAUGCAAAUGUUCUACUAAUGAUGAACUUUUGCUGUCUUCUAAGAGGAAACUACAGUCAGUUUCUGAAAUUAAAUCAGGACAGCUAAAAAAAAAAACUUUAAGAGACAGAAGGAGACAGAAGACUGCUGUUUAGACUAAUACAAUCUUACAGAACAGUGAAAUGUCAAAACUCUACUUGCACUUGAUACUAACUGCCCAUUGGCCUCUCCUUGUCCAACACAGGCUAAGACAGCUGUCCAGUGCAAGCAGCAACAGUUUUUCACAUGUUAAGGAACCAAAGAAAGCUGAACGUGUCCAUUAUCAGGGCCUGGGUUGUGCUGCUGUGCCAGUGGUAUUUGCCAACAGAUUGACAACAAAGUGACAUGAGAAUGGUAUUAGAAAACUCAACAGCUGACUCAGAAUUGCUCAAAAUGGAGCAAUGCAGCUGGGUGUGAUGGAGCAAAAGGCAUUUGUGACUAAUGUGAGUGAGGUGGGCAGCUCUGCACUGGGAAAGGGCACUGUCACAGAAACAAUCUGCAUAAGCCAAAGCAUGGAGAUUACACUGUGAAUGCCCUCUUAAGAGAGCCCUAAAGCCUGUGCAAAUGCAACCUGAUAAAAACUAGAGGUUUGCCAGUGCACAUCAAAGAGUUACGGGAUAGCAUGAGAAGCCUUAGCAGAGUUUGAGCCUGUGCCUUGGUUCACUGCAAGCACUGCUCUGCAACAACCAAAACAUGGGUGUGUUAUAAACAUCAGUCUGAUCCUCAAUCCAAGACACAGCACUGUAUCAGUACUAGGACAAAAUUAACUGUAUCCCAG